AGUGAACGCUGGCGGUAGGCCUAACACAUGCAAGUCGAACGGCAGCACAGUAAGAGCUUGCUCUUACGGGUGGCGAGUGGCGGACGGGUGAGGAAUACAUCGGAAUCUACUUUUUCGUGGGGGAUAACGUAGGGAAACUUACGCUAAUACCGCAUACGACCUACGGGUGAAAGCAGGGGAUCUUCGGACCUUGCGCGAUUGAAUGAGCGGAUGUCGGAUUAGCUAGUUGGCGGGGUAAAGGCCCACCAAGGCGACGAUCCGUAGCUGGUCUGAGAGGAGGAUCAGCCACACUGGAACUGAGACACGGUCCAGACUCCUACGGGAGGCAGCAGUGGGGAAUAUUGGACAAUGGGCGCAAGCCUGAUCCAGCCAUACCGCGUGGGUGAAGAAGGCCUUCGGGUUGUAAAGCCCUUUUGUUGGGAAAGAAAAGCAGCAGGUUAAUACCCCGCUGUUCUGACGGUACCCAAAGAAUAAGCACCGGCUAACUUCGUG
Molecule: ribosomal RNA, 492 nt
Filed under: uncultured bacterium
Lineage: Bacteria
Description: partial 16S ribosomal RNA
Rfam family: Bacterial small subunit ribosomal RNA
Source: RNAcentral